CCGAGUUUACAACUCCCAAACCCAUGUGAACAUACCUAUCGUUGCUUCGGCGGAUCGAGCCCCGGGCGCCUGCGUGAACCGGGAUCCAGGCCGGCCGCAGGGGAUCCUAACUCUGUUUUCUAUUGUAGAAUCUUCUGAGUACGUACAAAUAAAUCA
Molecule: unclassified non-coding RNA, 156 nt
Filed under: soil metagenome
Description: partial internal transcribed spacer 1
Source: RNAcentral